AGGUAGUCGUUUAAACAGGACACAGGUGAUUUUUUUGGUACUGGUAUGGUGGUUGUGGAUUUGAGACAUGUGGGGACGACUGCCUGGCUCAGCGAGGUGUUGAAGAUAUCUGUUAGGACAUCUGUCAGCUGUACAGCACAGUCUCUCAGUACACGGCCAGGACCCGCAGCCUUGCGUGGGUUAAUCCUAGAUAGGGUCUUCCUAACAUCAGCUGGAGACAGACAGAGCACCUGGUCGUUGGGAGGUAUGGCCAGUUUUUGUGCAGGUGUGUCAUUCUGCAUUUCAAACUGUGAAUAAAAGUGGUUGAGUGUAUCAUGAAGGGAUGUGUCGUCAUCACAGGCCUGUGGUGGGGACUUGUAGGCAGUGAUGGUCUGAAUGGCUUGCCAUAGGCUCUGUGUCUCUGCUGUCAUGUUUAUUUAACAUGCUGAAUAAACAUAACCACUGUACAUAUUUUUUCAGUGUACUAAGAAACGUUAUCUGACUACUGAAAUUUUAAUACAAAAUUAGGUGAUUGUAAAAUCACACCUUCAGUUACAAACCAUUUUAUGCUUAUAUUCUGUUGAUUCUUCUUACAUCACAUCUUUUCUCAUUAUUUUAGAGUCUUUACAGUUGGAUGCUUCGCCAGUGAACGUUCAUUAAAAAACAUGGCUAAUAGCAAAGAAUCCUGUGGAGAGCUGGUAACGGCUGAGUUAGAAACCUCUGGAGAGCUGGUAACGGCUGAGUUAGAGAUUGUCGAUGACAACGCUAUACUGAAAGCAGAUUUCAUUCAGGAGCUUCUUCCGUCUGCGGAGCGAACAGCUCUCCUUUAUCACCUGACUUUCCUGAGUCUGGGAGGAUUCCCAAAGCUUGAGCGUGUGAUCAGAGACCAAGCUAUUGAAACUCAACUGCUGUUUGGAUCCUCUGAAGCCGUUUUGCUGAAGUGUGUCGGCACGAGUUCCAACCUGGUCACUUCCCUCUUUCCAAUAUUGAUAAAAGCUGUGGAGAAGAACAAACCUGUUUUGGCGGUGAGGUAUCUGAUGAAAGCCAAAGAGUGGAUCACUGACAUCAUAAGACAAGUGGAUGACAUAGUGAAGAGGUAUGAUCAACACAACCAAAGUGUGAAAACAUGCACCAGUGACGUGUAUCAAGAACAAGCAGAGACCGAAGAAAAAAAAGAGAAAAAUUCUGAUGAGAUGAAGGGUCUGAAGGAUGCUCUGGCCGAGCACAAAGAGGAUCUGGAAAUAGUAGUCAACAAAACAGAGAUGAAUGAGAAACAAAUUCAAAAAAACACUGAGGAGCUAAACAGCUUCAUCAGAAGAUUUCAGGAAGAUUAUAGCCACUGGACUAAGAAGUUCCUUGCCUUUUUUAGAGGCUAUCCAGAUGGUAUGAAGGAGCCUACUGCCAUCGCUCUGGAUAGAGAACUGAAACAUCUCGACUCUGAGAAGAGCCGUCUGAAAAAUGAAGAGUGGAACAUCAAAACCGAGCAGCUUGAUCUUCAGCUGAAGCUGGCCAACUGUAAAAUACGGAUGGGUGAGAUUCCCGACCCUGACAACCUGAAGGAAGUCCAGCUGUGUCUUUCUCAAAUCCAGCAAAUUCUGGUUGAUCUGAAAAAGUUUUGGGAGAAGGUGGAUGCUAUUCUGAGCACGCUGAAAGAUAAAACCUUUGUUGGGGAGGAAAUGGUGGACAUGGAGGACAUGAAGGAUGAGUUUAUAAGCUCCAUUGAAGAUGCAGCAAAGGUAAGUUAGACGUUGAGCAAAUGUUCCUGAUGUAAUUUGAUUAUGCCUUUCAUGAAUUCUCUGAGUUCUCACUUUCAUUUCCUAUGUUGUUUUU
Cyprinus carpio (common carp) is the source of this 1809-nucleotide long non-coding RNA. The record is from Ensembl. Lineage: Eukaryota; Metazoa; Chordata; Actinopteri; Cypriniformes; Cyprinidae.